Molecule: long non-coding RNA, 599 nt
Organism: Hyla sarda
Lineage: Eukaryota; Metazoa; Chordata; Amphibia; Anura; Hylidae
Exons: 3
Source: RefSeq, a predicted model, not a curated record
AUACAUCCUGCCACAUUGAGCCUCCCCAACUCUUUGUAACAGUUUACAGAAUGAUGCCAGAUACCAUAGGAAACCUUCAGAGAGCUUUUGGAGUCUAAAGCAUGAAGGAUGAGAGCUGGCAUCUAAAUAGAUACUUAUCUGCAUCUUAAAAAAUGAAAGAUAUACAGAACAUUACAGCAAAAUUAGAGGACCUAAAUCAAAAUGGGAAAAAGGUACUGGUAAUGCCACCCACCGCACCACUCUGUCACCGGGUCACUUUCAGGACUCCUGAUGCUGCUGCCACCAUAUGUUCUCCUCAAGCUGAUGCCACCUCCAGGCUGCCUCAUUCUAGAAUAGUGUAUUAUUUAAGCAUGCAGGUGCACUAAUGAACAUGCAGUAUCUAAGUGAGUACACCGCUCACAUUUUUGUAAAUAUUUUAUGUGACAACACUGAAGAAAUGACACUACUACAAUGUAAAGUAGUGAGUGCACAGCCUGUAUAAGUGUUUAAUGUGUCCUCUCAAAAUAACUCAACACACGCUCAUUAAUGUCUAAACUUUGGCAAGUGUCCAAAUUGGGCCCAAAAGUGUCAAUAUUUGAAUAUGUCAAUAAGUGUGACCA